This 537-nucleotide ribosomal RNA is filed under the name uncultured bacterium. RNAcentral describes it as "bacterial SSU rRNA". It matches the Rfam family "Bacterial small subunit ribosomal RNA", at positions 355 to 895 of the family's 1533-position model. The record is from RNAcentral.
UGAGGAAUAUUGGUCAAUGGACGGAAGUCUGAACCAGCCAAGUAGCGUGCAGGAUGACGGCCCUAUGGGUUGUAAACUGCUUUUGUAUGGGGAUAAAGUCAAUCACGUGUGAUUGUUUGCAGGUACCAUACGAAUAAGGACCGGCUAAUUCCGUGCCAGCAGCCGCGGUAAUACGGAAGGUUCGGGCGUUAUCCGGAUUUAUUGGGUUUAAAGGGAGCGUAGGCCGGAGAUUAAGUGUGUUGUGAAAUGUAGACGCUCAACGUCUGACUUGCAGCGCAUACUGGUUUCCUUGAGUACGCACAACGUUGGCGGAAUUCGUCGUGUAGCGGUGAAAUGCUUAGAUAUGACGAAGAACUCCGAUUGCGAAGGCAGCUGACGGGAGCGCAACUGACGCUGAAGCUCGAAGGUGCGGGUAUCGAACAGGAUUAGAUACCCUGGUAGUCCGCACAGUAAACGAUGGAUGCCCGCUGUUGGUACCUGGUAUCAGCGGCUAAGCGAAAGCAUUAAGCAUCCCACCUGGGGAGUACGCCGGCCGGU